ACUGCUCAGUAACACGUGGACAAUCUGCCCUGAAGUGGAGAAUAAUCCCGGGAAACUGGGGGUAAUACUCCAUAGUUCGUUAUUACUGGAAUGUUUUUCGAACGAAAGAUCCGUCGCUUCAGGAUGAGUCUGCGGCCGAUUAGGUAGUUGUUGGGGUAAUUGCCCAACAAGCCUGUAAUCGGUACGGGUUGUGGGAGCAAGAGCCCGGAGAUGGAUUCUGAGACACGAAUCCAGGCCCUACGGGGCGCAGCAGGCGCGAAAACUUUACCAUGCGGGCAACCGUGAUAAGGAAACCCCGAGUGCCAGCACAGGCUGGCUGUCCGCCAGUUUAAACAACUGGCGAAGAAAGGGCCGGGCAAGACCGGUGCCAGCCGCCGCGGUAAUACCGGCGGCUCGAGUGGUGGCCGCUAUUACUGGGCUUAAAGGGUCCGUAGCUUGAUAAUAGGGUCCCUUGAGAAAUCCGCCGGCUUAACUGGCGGGCGUUCAGGGGAAACUUGUUUUCUAGGGACCGGGAGAGGUGAGGGGUACUGCCGGGGUAGGAGUGAAAUCCUGUAAUCCCGGUGGGACCACCUAUGGCGAAGGCAUCUCACCAGAACGGGUCCGACAGUGAGGGACGAAAGCUGGGGGAGCAAACCGGAUUAGAUACCCGGGUAGUCCUAGCCGUAAACGAUACUCGCUAGGUGUCGGCCACGGUGCGACCGUUGUCGGUGCCGUAGGGAAGCCGUGAAGCGAGCCACCUGGGAAGUACGGCCGCAAGGCUGAAACUUAAAGGAAUUGGCGGGGGAGCAC
RNAcentral lists this ribosomal RNA (789 nucleotides) under uncultured archaeon. RNAcentral's name for it is "bacterial SSU rRNA". It matches the Rfam family "Archaeal small subunit ribosomal RNA", at positions 85 to 879 of the family's 1478-position model. The record is from RNAcentral.